AGCGAACGCUGGCGGCAGGCCUAACACAUGCAAGUCGAACGGAUCCUUCGGGAUUAGUGGCGGACGGGUGAGUAACACGUGGGAACGUGCCCUUUGGUUCGGAACAACUCAGGGAAACUUGAGCUAAUACCGGAUGUGCCCUUCGGGGGAAAGAUUUAUCGCCAUUGGAGCGGCCCGCGUCUGAUUAGCUAGUUGGUGAGGUAACGGCCUACCAAGGCGACGAUCAGUAGCUGGUCUGAGAGGAUGAUCAGCCACACUGGGACUGAGACACGGCCCAGACUCCUACGGGAGGCAGCAGUGGGGAAUCUUGCGCAAUGGGCGAAAGCCUGACGCAGCCAUGCCGCGUGAAUGAUGAAGGUCUUAGGAUUGUAAAAUUCUUUCAGCGGGGACGAUAAUGACGGUACCCGCAGAAGAAGCUCCGGCUAACUUCGUG
This 433-nucleotide ribosomal RNA is filed under the name uncultured bacterium. RNAcentral's name for it is "partial 16S ribosomal RNA". It matches the Rfam family "Bacterial small subunit ribosomal RNA", at positions 29 to 507 of the family's 1533-position model. The record is from RNAcentral.